RNAcentral lists this ribosomal RNA (93 nucleotides) under Coryanthes macrantha. RNAcentral describes it as "5.8S ribosomal RNA". It matches the Rfam family "5.8S ribosomal RNA", at positions 1 to 89 of the family's 154-position model. From Rfam's summary of the family: 5.8S ribosomal RNA (5.8S rRNA) is a component of the large subunit of the eukaryotic ribosome. It is transcribed by RNA polymerase I as part of the 45S precursor that also contains 18S and 28S rRNA. The record is from RNAcentral. Lineage: Eukaryota; Viridiplantae; Streptophyta; Magnoliopsida; Asparagales; Orchidaceae.
GACAGACUCUCGGCAAUGGAUAUCUCGGCUCUCGCAUCGAUGAAGAGCGCAGCGAAAUGCGAUACGUGGUGCGAAUUGCAGAAUCCCGCGAAC